UACAACAGCCCACAGCUUUACCAGUUCACACUGUAAUUUUGCCAGAUCUUAUAAGCUAAGCAGGUUUGGCCCUAGUCAUUAGUAGGAUGGGCAGGCUCCAGGGAAAAUCCAUGUGCUGCAGAAA
This 124-nucleotide ribosomal RNA is filed under the name Notamacropus eugenii (tammar wallaby). Lineage: Eukaryota; Metazoa; Chordata; Mammalia; Diprotodontia; Macropodidae. The record is from RNAcentral.